Molecule: RNase P RNA, 371 nt
Filed under: Clostridium sp.
Lineage: Bacteria; Bacillati; Bacillota; Clostridia; Eubacteriales; Clostridiaceae
Also listed under: 3 other names
Description: RNase P RNA component class A
Rfam family: Bacterial RNase P class A
About the family: Ribonuclease P (RNase P) is a ubiquitous endoribonuclease, found in archaea, bacteria and eukarya as well as chloroplasts and mitochondria. Its best characterised activity is the generation of mature 5'-ends of tRNAs by cleaving the 5'-leader elements of precursor-tRNAs.
Source: RNAcentral
UAAGUAAACCAGACAAUCGCUGCUUUAAAAUUACAAUUACAGCAGAGGAAAGUCCGAGCUUCAUAGGGCAGGGUGCUGGGUAACUCCCAGUCAGGGUGACCUGAAGGAAAGUGCAACAGAAAUAUACCGCUGCAGAAACAGAUUAUAUUUGAUUUUGACUGCAGUAAGGUUGGAAAGGCGAGGUAAGAGCUCACCAGCGCAGGGGUGAUCCUGCGGCUGUGUAAACCCCAUCUGAAGCAAGAUCGAAUAGGAAAGCAUGAGAAAAGUGGCCCGCUUUGCUUUCGGGUAGUAUCGCUGGAACCCACUGGCAACAAUGGGUCUAGAUAGAUGAUUGUCUAAUACAGAACUCGGCUUACAGAUUUACUUACGGG